Molecule: long non-coding RNA, 562 nt
Organism: Brassica napus (rape)
Lineage: Eukaryota; Viridiplantae; Streptophyta; Magnoliopsida; Brassicales; Brassicaceae
Exons: 2
Source: RefSeq, a predicted model, not a curated record
CUCUUUCAUCUCUCCAAAUAAACUCUCUGUUCUGUAAUUUUCUUUCUCUCCAAAGAAACUUUGUUUCCAUCUCACUCAUCAAAUUCAUUGAUUUUGCAAGCUAGCACACUGGUUUUUCAUGCUAGAACGUGCAACAGAAUCACAUUUCCUCUCUUCAGCUCCCAUCUAUGCAACUCGCCGAUCGUUGAGUUUAAGUUCAAGAACGCUCUUGUUUUAGUGACGACAAGGUCUGAGGUUUGGUUCCUUCUGUAUUAAGCCGGUUAGAUCGUCUUUCUUUGGCUGGGAACAAUCUCUCUGGUACGAUUUGGUUCAAGCUGUCUCGUUUUGGAGAAGAUGAUUUUGUCGCAAAUAACAGUCUCGCGAUUAUAUUGCGGAGGAUGUUGGGUUUUGAUGGUGGUUAUGAUUAAAGUGCUUGUGGUGGAAGAAGCUGUUAGAUGUUAUUCUUGCUGGAUAGACAUUUACAUUAUUGUCGAGACAAUACAAACUUUAACCAGAUAUUAUUUUACGUAGAUGUUAAAGACAGUUGAAAGAACCUAUACAUAGACGGAAAUCAUUUUAUUUA